Molecule: ribosomal RNA, 429 nt
Filed under: uncultured bacterium
Lineage: Bacteria
Description: bacterial SSU rRNA
Rfam family: Bacterial small subunit ribosomal RNA
Source: RNAcentral
UCCCAGACUCCUACGGGAGGCAGCAGUGGGGGAUAUUGCACAAUGGGGGGAACCCUGAUGCAGCGACGCCGCGUGGGUGAAGGAGCGUUUCGGCGCGUAAAGCCCUAUCGGCAGGGAAGAAGGAGGACGGUACCUGACUAAGAAGCCCCGGCUAACUACGUGCCAGCAGCCGCGGGAAUACGUAGGGGGCAAGCGUUAUCCGGAUUUACUGGGUGUAAAGGGAGCGUAGACGGAUGGAUAAGUCUGAAGUGAAAGCCCGCGGCUCAACUGCGGGACUGCUUUGGAAACUGUGCAUCUUGAGUACGGGAGGGGCAGGCGGAAUUCCUGGUGUAGCGGUGAAAUGCGUAGAUAUCAGGAGGAGCACCGGCGGCGAAGGCGGCCUGCUGGACCGAAACUGACGUUGAGGCUCGAAAGCGUGGGGAGCAAACA